UGAGUAACCUGCCCUUAACUCUGGGAUAAGCCUGGGAAACUGGGUCUAAUACCGGAUAUGACUCCUCAUCGCAUGGUGGGGGGUGGAAAGCUUUUUGUGGUUUUGGAUGGACUCGCGGCCUAUCAGCUUGUUGGUGAGGUAAUGGCUCACCAAGGCGACGACGGGUAGCCGGCCUGAGAUGGUGACCGGCCACACUGGGACUGAGACACGGCCCAGACUCCUACGGGAGGCAG
This 233-nucleotide ribosomal RNA is filed under the name uncultured bacterium. RNAcentral describes it as "partial 16S ribosomal RNA". It matches the Rfam family "Bacterial small subunit ribosomal RNA", at positions 118 to 351 of the family's 1533-position model. The record is from RNAcentral.